AGUGGGAUUACUGGGUCAUAUGGUAAGUGUACAUUUAACUUUAUAUGAAAUUGCCAAACCAUUCUCUAGAGUGGCUGUACCAUUUUGCAUUCCCACCAACAAU
Molecule: microRNA precursor, 103 nt
Filed under: Marmota monax (woodchuck)
Lineage: Eukaryota; Metazoa; Chordata; Mammalia; Rodentia; Sciuridae
Source: RNAcentral